RNA transcript from Carcharodon carcharias (great white shark), 3280 nucleotides. It is a transcript of the gene named GID complex subunit 4 homolog, with no coding region annotated. NCBI's taxonomy places the organism in Eukaryota, Metazoa, Chordata, Chondrichthyes, Lamniformes, Lamnidae. The record is from RefSeq and is a predicted model, not a curated record. The transcript is spliced from 7 exons.
GAAGAGGUGAUGUUGCUCUCUUUCGUCGGCGGUGGGAGGAUUGCGGCCAUCUCGCGUUGUCAGGGCUUGUGAAGGAGAAGCGGUGGCGACGCUGCUUGUGGUGGCUGGAUAUACUGCGAUUAUAUAGCUGAUUUUUUCCCUCCCUUUCUCCCCUUCCCCCCCUCCCCUUCCCUCUUUCCCUUUCUCCCCGCUCUCAGAGGCUGGGCUGGGGUGACAUCGCGCGAUGCCGGUCCGCACCGAGUCGGCCUCGCUCAUCCCGCCGCCCCCCAUCAAUACUCAACAGCCUGGGGUCGCCACCACGCUCCUGUACAGCGGCUCCAAGUUCAGGGGGCACCAGAAGAGUAAAGGCAACUCUUAUGACGUGGAAGUGGUGCUUCAGCACGUUGACAUGGAAAACUCCUUUCUCUGUGGAUACCUAAAGAUCAAGGGGCUCACUGAGGAAUACCCAACUCUUACUACCUUCUUUGAAGGAGAAAUCAUCAGUAAAAAACAUCCAUUUUUAACAAGGAAAUGGGAUGCAGAUGAAGAUGUGGAUAGAAAACAUUGGGGGAAAUUCUUGGCAUUUUACCAAUAUGCAAAAACAUUCAACUCAGAUGAGUUUGAUUAUGAAGAGUUAAAGAACAGCGAUUUUGUCUUCAUGAGGUGGAAGUCCCGUCUACAACCGCUCCACGACGUGGAUGCCAUGCCUGCCUCUACCAGCCGAUGCACAGCAGCUUCCCUCCAUGAUUGCGACCCCGAAACACAGGACCUCAAAGUAUCCUUCGUGCGCAAAGGCUGCCAGCACAGAACAAUUUCUGGUCCCUGAUCACACAAUCAAAGACAUCAGUGGUGCUUCCUUUGCAGGCUUUUAUUAUAUUUGCUUCCAAAAGUCCACAGCUUCAAUAGAAGGCUAUUACUACCACAGGAGUUCAGAAUGGUACCAGUCUUUAAAUCUGACACACGUCCCUGAACACAGCACUCCCAUCUAUGAGUUUCGGUGACAUUCAUCAAUACAACCCUCCUCGGACAGUUGGGGAGAGGGAGUAGGCAGAUGGUGGAACUGUUCAGGAGGAAGAGAGUGAUGGACACAAAAGUGUUCUGUAACAAUGAGAACAAUUACUGUUUUCUCUGCUGCUGACAGACCAACCACAACACGAUGAGGAGCUCGAGCAUCAAUAAUCCAAUCCAAGUGCAUGACUGUUGGAGCUUGUUUUCACCGAGCAAAAGAGAACUCAUUUUAAUCUCAUUUUUAAUGCUAAUUUAAACUGCACUUACUGAUUUUUAAUUUUGGUCUCUGAUUUGUUAAGUUCUUUUUGUAGUUCUAACUUUGUUGUACAAGAACUAAUGAGCCAGUAGCACGAUGCAGUGUGCUAUUGUCUUUUGUUUUCCCCUUUUUUGCUGUUGCUGUUUUUAUACAUUGCUAAUCAAGCUUGGAUUCUUCAGAUGGUCUUUUUAAUCUACUCUACAGGUGCUGUUGCACAUGUUCUGUGCUAGGUUUUUAUGGGAGAACAGAAGUGGCCUUAUCCUAAGAGAGCAGCAGAUGUCUUAGAUAUCACAAAGCAGUAUUGGGGGCGAGGAGAAAUUAAAAUAAAAUACUCUAACUAAAUAACUGACUUCUGUAAGACUCAAGUUGUAUAGAGAAUUUCUAAAAUCAUAUAUAUAUUGGAUACCUGGCAGUGUUUUAGUAAGGCCUAUGACCUAAUUGAGAAGUUGAGGAUUAAACCAAACCCUUUGGAAGCAGUUGCCAGGCUGCAGCUUUGUAAUUUCCUGCUAAUACAUACUUCGUGUGGGGUCUGAGUUGUAUUUUUUUUUGUGUAUGUGGCAGGAGAGGAUGUUCCAUUGUUGGUGCUAACCCAGAUGUUCACAGAUGAUACUGUGUGCCUUUUGUGAUGUAAUUCCUUCGGACUUACAGAAACAUUCAACUUAACCUUACAACAGUGGGAAAUUCCAUGCACAGUAUAUUUCUCAUUUGAAGGUUGAAGCCCAUCUUGCCCCUUCCCAGAAAAGCUUUUGUGCAGAGCAUGUGCAAAGCAUUGGGUUUUCAUCUUAAGUAUACACAAAAGAUUAAUAGAAAAAAAUCAUCUUAGAUCUAGCCAUGGUUCUGACUAUUCAGUUGAUGGUGGAUGUUGCACUUAAAUAUUGGGUGGGGGAGAGGAAAAGAGGUUUCCAAAUUGGACAACCUAUUUAAUAUAAUUUUAAAAUAUAGAUGUUUAAAUGAAAUUGGUGCAAAAACAAUUUUUCUUCAGUUAUGGCUAGAUAUGCAGGAUGUUAAAACGCCCACGGAGUGACUAAUGAAAAUGUCAUGUACCUACCAUUACACUUCAGUGAAAUUCUAGUUGUGACACUGCAAGUAUUCCAAUUAAAUCUAACAUGCUUUGGGAUUUAAUGUUGCAUGAAAUGGCAAAGCUUGCAAUAUUACAGCUAGGAUUUCAAUACAACAGUGAAAUUAUCAUGCAACUCAAAAUAUGGACAUUUUAACAUCCAAUGGAGGGGGUAUCUCUUCCUCUUUUUGUGUAAAGUCAAAGAAGAAUUCUUUUAUUACAACCGUUGUAAACCAAUGACGUACAAAGGAAUGUAAUACCACCACUUGUACUAAACUUAUUGCACCAGGUUUUUUGUCCAUUGUGACUUCUAUAAAGAUAGUUAAAUCCUGAUAAAUGCUUUAUUGAUUUGCCAAGAAAGAUGUUAUGCCUGAAUCAGGAUGUAUGUCUGCUUUUGUGUGUCUGAUUGUCUGGGGGGUGUGUGUAUGUGUGUGUCCUGUGUGAAAUGGGAGUGAAUGGGAUGGAAUUUCACCCUUGGAUCAAGAUUAUGCAUAGAUUGAUGUGUUCUUUUAAUUGAAGCCCCUCCUAAAAACAUCUGAAUGGACUCUAACUUUGGAAUCCUACAUCUAAAAGUGAGGGCAGUAUUUUGCUUUAUCCUAUUGCAGUCUUUUUGAAAAAUAGGAACUUCUAAUCUCUCACAGGUCAAGAAUUCCUUUUCUUCUGAUUUUACAUAUUUUUGGAAUUCCAAUAAAUAAGCUGAAAGUCCAUUUUUAUUUAAAACAUAUGAAGAGUUGUGUAAGUGAGAGGAAGGACUGCUAACUAGGGUGAAACAGCCCAUGUACAUUGAGUUUGACCUAUUGACACUUCAAAGAGAGCAACUAACUGGUUUGAAAGUGAGUCGGUUUUAUUGUAUAAAUCAGAGCAUGGAAAUGAAUGUUUUAUUACAUUGCAUUGUUCAUGAGACAUCAGGAGCUUUAAGUUUCCGAUCUGUGGUGAAAUAAAUGAGGGUACCACAUCCAAUAAAGUUCCUUGUGAAAGAC